This 234-nucleotide ribosomal RNA is filed under the name uncultured bacterium. Its description in RNAcentral is "partial 16S ribosomal RNA". It matches the Rfam family "Bacterial small subunit ribosomal RNA", at positions 102 to 334 of the family's 1533-position model. The record is from RNAcentral.
CACGGGUGAGUAACACGUAUCCAACCUGCCGUCUACUCUUGGACAGCCUUCUGAAAGGAAAGAUUAAUACAAGAUGGCAUCAUGAGUCCACAUGUUCACAUGAUUAAAGGUAUUCCGGUAGACGAUGGGGAUGCGUUCCAUUAGAUAGUAGGCGGGGUAACGGCCCACCUAGUCUUCGAUGGAUAGGGGUUCUGAGAGGAAGGUCCCCCACAUUGGAACUGAGACACGGUCCAA